AUUGAACGCUGGCGGCAUGCUUUACACAUGCAAGUCGAACGGCAGCGCGGGCUUCGGCCUGGCGGCGAGUGGCGAACGGGUGAGUAAUGCAUCGGAACGUGCCCAGUAGUGGGGGAUAGCCCGGCGAAAGCCGGAUUAAUACCGCAUACGACCUGAGGGUGAAAGCGGGGGACCGAAAGGCCUCGCGCUAUUGGAGCGGCCGAUGUCGGAUUAGCUAGUUGGUGGGGUAAAGGCUUACCAAGGCGACGAUCCGUAGCUGGUCUGAGGGGACGACCAGCCACACUGGGACUGAGACACGGCCCAGACUCCUACGGGAGGCAGCAGUGGGGAAUUUUGGACAAUGGGGGCAACCCUGAUCCAGCCAUGCCGCGUGCGGGAAGAAGGCCUUCGGGUUGUAAACCGCUUUUGUUCGGGAAGAAAUCCUCUGGGCUAAUACCCCGGGGGGAUGACGGUACCGGAAGAAUAAGCACCGGCUAACUACGUG
This 484-nucleotide ribosomal RNA is filed under the name uncultured bacterium. RNAcentral's name for it is "partial 16S ribosomal RNA". It matches the Rfam family "Bacterial small subunit ribosomal RNA", at positions 28 to 507 of the family's 1533-position model. The record is from RNAcentral.